Molecule: long non-coding RNA, 568 nt
Filed under: Homo sapiens (human)
Lineage: Eukaryota; Metazoa; Chordata; Mammalia; Primates; Hominidae
Description: HSALNT0023648
Source: RNAcentral
CUAUGCCCAACACACUAUUAAUUGGCAAAAUUAACCAUUUUGCCAUUUCCUUUGAAGAGAAAGUAUAACUUCGUUUUGUCUUCCUUGAGAAAAUUUCUCCAGGGAGAAUCCUAAAAGUUCAGAAAGGGUUCCAAAGAAAUCCACUGGCAGCUGGCUGAAUCAUUCUUCACAGUAGAGCAGAAUCAUUUUAAAACAGGUUAAUCUUGAAUAUCCAGGCAAAGAGACUGUUUUAAAGUCAUCUCAAACCAUGGGUUCCAUUAUUAUGAGGAAUAGUAGUUGUAAUCUCAAUAGCUACUGUUAAGAACGACUCUGCUUAUUGAAAGCUGCUGAGCUCCCACUGGCCUUUCAAUGUGUGGGACUGCUGAUGGAGGCAGAGGUGAGACAGCAAAGUCACCUGGUCCACCCCCUUCCUCAAGAUGAUCUCAGCACAGCCUGCAGUGACUGCCUCGGAUGGGAAUGACAGCCAAAUGCUGUAGAGGGCGUAUUUCAGGGAGUGGAUAUGGUGGUAAAGGUAUGCUAAAAACUCACAUUGUGGACGGAGGGAAACGAGGCUUGGGGUCUAUAUUGC